Molecule: ribosomal RNA, 180 nt
Filed under: uncultured Glomeromycotina
Lineage: Eukaryota; Fungi; Glomeromycota
Description: partial small subunit ribosomal RNA
Source: RNAcentral
GGCCUGGCCGGGCGGUCCGCCUAACGGUGUGUACUGUCUGGCCGGGUCUUACCUCUUGGUGAGCCGGCAUGCCCUUCACUGGGUGUGUCGGGGAACCAGGAUUUUUACCUUGAGAAAAUUAGAGUGUUCAAAGCAGGCCUAUGCCCGAAUACAUUAGCAUGGAAUAAUAGAAUAGGACUU